Oncorhynchus keta (chum salmon) is the source of this 740-nucleotide long non-coding RNA. RefSeq lists it as uncharacterized. The transcript is spliced from 3 exons. Lineage: Eukaryota; Metazoa; Chordata; Actinopteri; Salmoniformes; Salmonidae. The record is from RefSeq and is a predicted model, not a curated record.
GAGGAGAAUAUGAGAGGAGAGGAGAGUAGGAGACGAAAGGAGAAUAGGAGAGGAGAAGAGAAGAGAAGAGAAGAGAAGAGAAGAGAAGAGAAGAGAAGAGAAGAGAAGAAAGAGAAGACAGAGACUGUAUCAGGUCUAUAACACAGAGAGACAGAGACUGUAUCAGGUCUAUAACACAGAGAGACAGAGACUGUAUCAGGUCUAUAACACAGAGAGACAGAGACUGUAUCAGGUCUAUAACACAGAGAGACAGAGACUGUAUCAGGUCUCUAACACAGAGAGACAGAGACUGUAUCAGGUCUAUAACACAGAGAGACAGAGACUGUAUCAGGUCUAUAACACAGCUCCUCCUGACAGAGACUGUAUCAGGUCUAUAACACAGAGAGACAGAGACUGUAUCAGGUCUAUAACACAGAGAGACAGAGACUGUAUCAGGUCUAUAACACAGAGAGACAGAGACUGUAUCAGGUCUAUAACACAGAGAGACAGAGACUGUAUCAGGUCUAUAACACAGAGAGACAGAGACUGUAUCAGGUCUAUAACACAGAGAGACAGAGACUGUAUCAGGUCUCUAACACAGAGAGACAGAGACUGUAUCAGGUCUCUAACACAGAGAGACAGAGACUGUAUCAGGUCUAUAACACAGCUCCUCCUGACAGAGACUAAGACACAUUGAAGAGACAGAGAGUUGUGAAUCAUCUCCUCAUGAUGACAACCAAGUCUGUUAUGUUAUGGUUUAU